Molecule: long non-coding RNA, 268 nt
Organism: Syngnathoides biaculeatus (alligator pipefish)
Lineage: Eukaryota; Metazoa; Chordata; Actinopteri; Syngnathiformes; Syngnathidae
Exons: 3
Source: RefSeq, a predicted model, not a curated record
GAGACAUUGCAAGACAGACAUAAUAUAACGUCAGAAAUAGCAGUGAACAUGGAACAUGCUGAUCUUGAAGCUGAAGCUGCAAGACUUUUAGCAUCCUGUGUUUCUGCAGAAUCUGCCUAAAUAGCACCUCUUUGCAGGAGGAGGAAGUGCCAUUCAUCAUUGGCUGGGACCAGUCCGUCGCAGUAGGAAAUGAACCUCUGAAGCCAACUGUCCAAGCUUAUUCAGAUGCUGCAGCGGACAUUCUUUGGCACCUAGCUGCCUCUCUGUG